GUCGAACGGACUCAUACUGAAACCUAGUGAUUUAUGAGUUAGUGGCGGACGGGUGAGUAACGCGUGGAUAACCUGCCGUAUACCGGGGGAUAACACUUAGAAAUAGGUGCUAAUACCGCAUGAGCGCACAGCUCCGCAUGGGGCGGUGUGAAAAACUCCGGUGGUAUACGAUGGAUCCGCGUCUGAUUAGCCAGUUGGCGGGGUAACGGCCCACCAAAGCGACGAUCAGUAGCCGGCCUGAGAGGGUGAACGGCCACAUUGGGACUGAGACACGGCCCAGACUCCUACGGGAGGCAGCAGUGGGGAAUAUUGCACAAUGGGGGAAACCCUGAUGCAGCGACGCCGCGUGAGUGAAGAAGUAUCUCGGUAUGUAAAGCUCUAUCAGCAGGAAAGAUAAUGACGGUACCUGACUAAGAAGCCCCGGCUAACUACGUGCCAGCAGCCGCGGUAAUACGUAGGGGGCAAGCGUUAUCCGGAAUUACUGGGUGUAAAGGGAGCGUAGACGGUUAAGUAAGUCUGGAGUGAAAGGCCGGGGCCCAACCCCGGGACUGCUCUGGAAACUAUUCAACUUGAGUGCAGGAGAGGUAAGCGGAAUUCCUAGUGUAGCGGUGAAAUGCGUAGAUAUUAGGAGGAACACCAGUGGCGAAGGCGGCUUACUGGACUGUAACUGACGUUGAGGCUCGAAAGCGUGNGGAGCAAACAGGAUUAGAUACCCUGGNAGUCCACGCCG
Molecule: ribosomal RNA, 730 nt
Filed under: uncultured bacterium
Lineage: Bacteria
Description: bacterial SSU rRNA
Rfam family: Bacterial small subunit ribosomal RNA
Source: RNAcentral